RNAcentral lists this signal recognition particle RNA (298 nucleotides) under Aotus nancymaae (Ma's night monkey). RNAcentral's name for it is "Metazoan signal recognition particle RNA (ENSANAG00000008439.1)". It matches the Rfam family "Metazoan signal recognition particle RNA". Rfam says of the family: The signal recognition particle (SRP) is a universally conserved ribonucleoprotein. Lineage: Eukaryota; Metazoa; Chordata; Mammalia; Primates; Aotidae. The record is from Rfam by way of RNAcentral.
GCUGGGUGGGAUGGCACCUGUCUGUAGUCCCAGCUAUUCGGGAGGCUGAGGUUGGAGGAUCUCUUGAGCCCAGGAGGUCUGGGCUGUAGUGCACUAUGCCGAUUGGGUGUCCGCACUAAGUUCGGCAUCAAUAUGGUGACCUCCCAGGAGCAGGGGACCACCAGGUUGCCUAAGGAGGGAUGAACCGGCCAAGGUCGGAAAUGGAGCAGAUCAAAACUCCUGUGCUGAUCAGUAGUGGGAUUGCACCUGUGAAUAGCCACUGCACUCCAGCCUGGACAACAUAGUGAGACCCUCUCAU